Molecule: long non-coding RNA, 557 nt
Organism: Anguilla anguilla (European eel)
Lineage: Eukaryota; Metazoa; Chordata; Actinopteri; Anguilliformes; Anguillidae
Exons: 3
Source: RefSeq, a predicted model, not a curated record
CGGGCGGGGGGGCACAAAGCAUCAGCGUCGCGCAGAAACGACAUACUGCCUGACCUAGGAGGACGACUGUUCUUGUCGAAUGUCACCCAGAGUCUCCAACCUACACCAACGUCGUAACACUGUGCCAGACCCGCCGUAAUAAGAUGCCUGAAACGUCAGACUGCUGGCAGGGGUCACAGUCGAAGGGAUACGUAGGUUGAAAGGGCGCAGAGAGGUGGCGGCGUGAGGGACAGCUCGCCGGGUCGGGUAGUAGAGCCAGAGGCCCUCGGGGCGUUCGAGUCCAGGCUUGUCACGGUGCAGCAUAUUCUCAAAGUCUGUGGUAGGUGGCAGUGACCGGAGAACUCUGAAGUCGAGAGGGAGCUGGACCGACUGUAAGGAGGUGGAAAGCUCUGUGGGGCUGUUUGGCUGUUUUGUUUAUUUUGUCUUUGUUAUUUUAGUUCGUUGUGUUAAUUUAUUUAUUUUUUUUCCUGGAUCCCAUGAGUCGGAAAGGUAAAGAAUUUCUGUAGAAUCGUGUUCUCUCUCUGUGCAUUUAAAAUAAAGACCAGUAAAUUCCAGAA